RNAcentral lists this ribosomal RNA (119 nucleotides) under Pteropus alecto (black flying fox). RNAcentral also lists the same sequence under 1 other name. The record is from RNAcentral. Lineage: Eukaryota; Metazoa; Chordata; Mammalia; Chiroptera; Pteropodidae.
GUCUAUGGCCAUGCCACCCUGAACAAGCCCGAUCCGAUCUGAUCUCCGAAGCUAAGCAGGUUUGGGCCUGGUUAGUACUUGGAUGGGAGACCACCUAGAAAGACUAGGUGCUGUAGGCA